Molecule: ribosomal RNA, 1256 nt
Filed under: metagenome
Description: bacterial LSU rRNA
Rfam family: Bacterial large subunit ribosomal RNA
Source: RNAcentral
CCGACACAGGUGGAUGAGGAGAGAAUCCUAAGGCCGACGGGAGAAGCAUUGUUAAGGAACUCGGCAAAAUGACUCCGUAACUUCGGGAGAAGGAGUGCCAGUAAGAUGGCCGCAGAGAAUUGGCCCAAGCAACUGUUUAGCAAAAACACAGGUCUAUGCAAAACCGAAAGGUGAGGUAUAUGGGCUGACGCCUGCCCGGUGCUGGAAGGUUAAGGGGAGAGGUUAGCGCAAGCGAAGCUUUGAACUUAAGCCCCAGUAAACGGCGGCCGUAACGAUAACGGUCCUAAGGUAGCGAAAUUCCUUGUCGGGUAAGUUCCGACCCGCACGAAAGGCGUAAUGAUUUGGGCACUGUCUCAACAAUGCACCCGGUGAAAUUGAAAUACCAGUGAAGAUGCUGGUUACCUGCGCCAGGACGGAAAGACCCCAUGGAGCUUUACUCCAGCUUGAUACUGGGAUUCGGUAUUGCAUGUACAGGAUAGGUGGGAGGCUAGGAAAUGGUAACGCCAGUUGCCAUGGAGCCAAUGUUGGGAUACCACCCUUGCAGUACUGGGUUUCUAACCAGCAGCCGUGAUCCGGCUGGGGGACAAUGUCAGGUGGGGAGUUUGACUGGGGCGGUCGCCUCCGAAAGGGUAUCGGAGGCGCUCAAAGGUUCCCUCAGAAUGGUUGGAAACCAUUCGAAGAGUGCAAAGGCAGAAGGGAGCUUGACUGCGACACCGACGGGUGGAGCAGGUACGAAAGUAGGACUUAGUGAUCCGGUGGUAUAAAGUGGGAUUGCCAUCGCUCAACGGAUAAAAGCUACCCUGGGAUAACAGGCUUAUCACUCCCAAGAGUUCACAUCGACGGAGUGGUUUGGCACCUCGAUGUCGGCUCAUCGCAUCCUGGGGCUGAAGUAGGUCCCAAGGGUUGGGCUGUUCGCCCAUUAAAGCGGUACGCGAGCUGGGUUAAGAACGUCGUGAGACAGUUCGGUCCCUAUCCGGCGUGGGCGUAAGAUAUUUGAGAGGAGCUGUCCUUAGUACGAGAGGACCGGGAUGGACUGGCCGCUGGUGUAUCUGUUGUCUUACCAAAGGCAUAGCAGAGUAGCCAAGCCGGGAAGGGAUAAACGCUGAAGGCAUCUAAGCGUGAAGCCCCCCUCAAGAUGAGAUAUCUCAUAACGUCAAGUUAGUAAGACCCCUUGAAGACGACGAGGUAGAUAGGGCAGAGGUGGAAGUGUGGUAACACAUGGAGCUGACUGUUACUAAUAGGUCGAGGGCAUAACC